UUCGGAUGGAAUUUGAAAUGACUGAGCGGCGGACGGGUGAGUAACGCGUGGGUAACCUGCCUCAUACAGGGGGAUAACAGUUAGAAAUGACUGCUAAUACCGCAUAAGCACACAGUACCGCAUGGUACAGUGUGAAAAACUCCGGUGGUAUGAGAUGGACCCGCGUCUGAUUAGCUGGUUGGCGGGGUAACGGCCCACCAAGGCGACGAUCAGUAGCCGACCUGAGAGGGUGACCGGCCACAUUGGGACUGAGACACGGCCCAAACUCCUACGGGAGGCAGCAGUGGGGAAUAUUGCACAAUGGGGGAAACCCUGAUGCAGCAACGCCGCGUGAGUGAAGAAGUAUUUCGGUAUGUAAAGCUCUAUCAGCAGGGAAGAAAGUGACGGUACCUGACUAAGAAGCCCCGGCUAACUACGUGCCAGCAGCCGCGGUAAUACGUAGGGGGCAAGCGUUAUCCGGAUUUACUGGGUGUAAAGGGAGCGUAGACGGCACAGCAAGUCUGAAGUGAAAUCCCCGGGCUCAACCCGGGAACUGCUUUGGAAACUGUUGGGCUGGAGUGCUGGAGAGGCAAGCGGAAUUCCUAGUGUAGCGGUGAAAUGCGUAGAUAUUAGGAGGAACACCAGUGGCGAAGGCGGCUUGCUGGACAGUAACUGACGUUGAGGCUCGAAAGCGUGGGGAGCAAACAGGAUUAGAUACCCUGGUAGUCCACGCCGUAAACGAUGCAUACUAGGUGUCGGGGAGCAAAGCUUUCCGGUGCCGCCGCAAACGCAGUAAGUAUGCCACCU
Molecule: ribosomal RNA, 786 nt
Filed under: uncultured bacterium
Lineage: Bacteria
Description: bacterial SSU rRNA
Rfam family: Bacterial small subunit ribosomal RNA
Source: RNAcentral